AUUGAACGCUGGCGGCAGGCUUAACACAUGCAAGUCGAGCGGAGAUGAGGUGCUUGCACCUUAUCUUAGCGGCGGACGGGUGAGUAAUGCUUAGGAAUCUGCCAUUUAGUGGGGGACAACAUUCCGAAAGGAAUGCUAAUACCGCAUACGUCCUACGGGAGAAAGCAGGGGAUCUUCGGACCUUGCGCUAAAUGAUGAGCCUAAGUCGGAUUAGCUAGUUGGUGGGGUAAAGGCCUACCAAGGCGACGAUCUGUAGCGGGUCUGAGAGGAUGAUCCGCCACACUUGGACUGAGACACGGCCCAGACUCCUACGGGAGGCAGCAGUGGGGAAUAUUGGACAAUGGGCGGAAGCCUGAUCCAGCCAUGCCGCGUGUGUGAAGAAGGCCUUUUGGUUGUAAAGCACUUUAAGCGAGGAGGAGGCUACUAGUACUAAUACUACUGGAUAGUGGACGUUACUCGCAGAAUAAGCACCGGCUAACUCUGUGCCAGCAGCCGCGGUAA
RNAcentral lists this ribosomal RNA (501 nucleotides) under uncultured bacterium. RNAcentral describes it as "partial 16S ribosomal RNA". It matches the Rfam family "Bacterial small subunit ribosomal RNA", at positions 30 to 523 of the family's 1533-position model. The record is from RNAcentral.